RNAcentral lists this ribosomal RNA (796 nucleotides) under Tolypocladium endophyticum. RNAcentral's name for it is "eukaryotic LSU rRNA". It matches the Rfam family "Eukaryotic large subunit ribosomal RNA", at positions 92 to 919 of the family's 3401-position model. The record is from RNAcentral. Lineage: Eukaryota; Fungi; Ascomycota; Sordariomycetes; Hypocreales; Ophiocordycipitaceae.
AGUGAAGCGGCAACAGCUCAAAUUUGAAAUCUGGCCCCCAGGGCCCGAGUUGUAAUUUGCAGAGGAUGCUUUUGGCGCGGUGCCUUCCGAGUUCCCUGGAACGGGACGCCAUAGAGGGUGAGAGCCCCGUCUGGUCGGACACCAAGCCAGUGUAAAGCUCCUUCGACGAGUCGAGUAGUUUGGGAAUGCUGCUCUAAAUGGGAGGUAUAUGUCUUCUAAAGCUAAAUACCGGCCAGAGACCGAUAGCGCACAAGUAGAGUGAUCGAAAGAUGAAAAGCACUUUGAAAAGAGGGUUAAACAGUACGUGAAAUUGUUGAAAGGGAAGCGUUUAUGACCAGACUUGGGCCCGGUGAAUCAUCCAGCGUUCUCGCUGGUGCACUUUGCCGGGCUCAGGCCAGCAUCAGUUCGUCGCGGGGGAUAAAAGCUUCGGGAACGUGGCUCCCUCGGGAGUGUUAUAGCCCGUUGCACAAUACCCUGCGGUGGACUGAGGUUCGCGCUCCGCAAGGAUGCUGGCGUAAUGGUCAUCAGCGACCCGUCUUGAAACACGGACCAAGGAGUCGUCUUCGUAUGCGAGUGUUCGGGUGUCAAACCCCUACGCGUAAUGAAAGUGAACGCAGGUGAGAGCUUCGGCGCAUCAUCGACCGAUCCUGAUGUUCUCGGAUGGAUUUGAGUAAGAGCAUACGGGGCCGGACCCGAAAGAAGGUGAACUAUGCCUGUAUAGGGUGAAGCCAGAGGAAACUCUGGUGGAGGCUCGCAGCGGUUCUGACGUGCAAAUCGAUCGUCAAAUAUGGGCAUG